Non-coding RNA from Beta vulgaris subsp. vulgaris (sugar beet), 98 nucleotides. The record is from Rfam. Lineage: Eukaryota; Viridiplantae; Streptophyta; Magnoliopsida; Caryophyllales; Amaranthaceae.
GGGUGCGAUCAUACCAUCAGAACUCUGCAUCUAACCGUGCUAGGGCAAUAGUAGUACUAGGAUGGGUGACCUCCUAGGAAGUCCUCGUGUUGCACCCC